Molecule: unclassified non-coding RNA, 89 nt
Filed under: Populus trichocarpa (black cottonwood)
Lineage: Eukaryota; Viridiplantae; Streptophyta; Magnoliopsida; Malpighiales; Salicaceae
Description: precursor microRNA ptr-MIR156i
Source: RNAcentral
UGUUGACAGAAGAUAGAGAGCACAGAUGAUGUUUUGCAGUAGACUCUGGAUCUCACUCCUUUGUGCUCUCUAUGCUUCUGCCAUCACCU